This 253-nucleotide ribosomal RNA is filed under the name uncultured bacterium. Its description in RNAcentral is "partial 16S ribosomal RNA". It matches the Rfam family "Bacterial small subunit ribosomal RNA", at positions 524 to 776 of the family's 1533-position model. The record is from RNAcentral.
UACGUAGGGGGCAAGCGUUGUCCGGAUUUAUUGGGCGUAAAGCGCGUGUAGGCGGCCACGCAGGUCCGCUGUGAAAACUCGAGGCUCAACCUCGAGCUGUCGGUGGAAACCGCGUGGCUAGAGUCCGGAAGAGGAGACUGGAAUUCCCGGUGUAGCGGUGGAAUGCGCAGAUAUCGGGAGGAACACCCGUGGCGAAGGCGGGUCUCUGGGACGGUACUGACGCUGAGACGCGAAAGCGUGGGGAGCGAACAGG